GACGAACGCUGGCGGCGUGCUUAACACAUGCAAGUCGAACGGAAAGGCCCUGCUUUUGUGGGGUGCUCGAGUGGCGAACGGGUGAGUAACACGUGAGUAACCUGCCCUUGACUUUGGGAUAACUUCAGGAAACUGGGGCUAAUACCGGAUAGGAGCUCCUGUUGCAUGGUGGGGGUUGGAACGUUUCGGCGGUUGGGGAUGGACUCGCGGCUUAUCAGCUUGUUGGUGGGGUAGUGGCUUACCAAGGCUUUGACGGGUAGCCGGCCUGAGAGGGUGACCGGCCACAUUGGGACUGAGAGACGGCCCAGACUCCUACGGGAGGCAGCAGGGGGGAAUAUUGCACAAUGGGCGGAAGCCUGAUGCAGCAACGCCGCGUGCGGGAUGACGUCCUGCUGGUUGUAAACCGCUUUCGCCUGUGACGAAGCGUGAGUGACGGUAAUGGGUAAAGAAGCACCGGCUAACUACGUG
This 468-nucleotide ribosomal RNA is filed under the name uncultured bacterium. Its description in RNAcentral is "partial 16S ribosomal RNA". It matches the Rfam family "Bacterial small subunit ribosomal RNA", at positions 28 to 507 of the family's 1533-position model. The record is from RNAcentral.